GUGCCAGCAGCCGCGGUAAUACAGAGGUGUCAAGCGUUGCUCGGUAUCACUGGGCUUAAAGGGCGCGUAGGCUGUGCGGUACGGUUCGGGUGAAAUCCCUCGGCUCAACCGAGGAACUGCCCGGGCGACGGCCGCGCUGGACUGCAUUAGGGGACGAUGGAACUCCCGGUGGAGCGGUGAAAUGCGUAGAUAUCGGGAGGAACGCCGGUGGCGAAAGCGAUCGUCUGGAGUGCAUGUGACGCUGAGGCGCGAAAGCUAGGGGAGCAAACGGGAUUAGAUACCCCCGUAGUCC
This 292-nucleotide ribosomal RNA is filed under the name uncultured bacterium. RNAcentral's name for it is "partial 16S ribosomal RNA". It matches the Rfam family "Bacterial small subunit ribosomal RNA", at positions 505 to 796 of the family's 1533-position model. The record is from RNAcentral.